AUUGAUCGUCUGCCUUGUCCGGGACUCCUGCGUCGACAUAGUCCCAUUUAAACAACUACACCAGGAGGUUAUUACAGACAUUCUCAACUGAAUGAAAAUGUACAUGUUAUGCAAGCACUGAAGACUGCAAAUAAAUGUUUUUCAAAACUGCCUGUAAUUAUGCAAAGUAAAUUUUAUGCAAGAAGUGGCGCCACCUAAAUGACAAAAUAACAUAUGCACGUUAGAAAAGAGUCUUUUCAAAGGAUCGCCACCCUCCUGGAAUAGCAAGUCUUCAAUUACAAGUUAAUCUAUCUUAGUAAAAUUAAUUUGGGAGUUGAUUGGGAGUGGUUCUCUGUUUUUUCCGUAGUUAUUGUAUUCUUUCUACUCUUUCAAUUCUACAGAACUACCUCCUGUAUGAACACCAUGUGGCAACAUGACUAGUUCUGCUGCAACAUUCCCCAUGGCAAGAACCAGGAGUAGAACCCACUGGUCUUGUGGCAUUGGGCUGCAGUGCUUCGCUAAGGACCCAGAGGAAACAGGGCUGCUCCAGCUAUGCCAGUUAGAAUCUGAUGUCUGCUCCUGUACCACCAUGCAACUUCUUCACGCAGCCUCUCCUUGGAGCUGGACUGUGGUUGAGUUGCUUGAAAAAGAAGAGAGGAUACAAGUUUGUAAAGGUUGCAAACCUGAAGCUCCCUUACCUAGUUGGCGCAAGGAACCAGAUACUAACUGGCUACAAUUUGAAAGCUUCCAGAAAGUCCAUGAAAAGGGUAUCUGAUAUGUUGGUGCUGCUGCAGUAAUAGCUAUGUCAAAACCAGAAGGUGUUGCAACUUCCUAAGCAGUAAUAAUAGAUGGGUUGAUACCACCUACUUCCUUAGUUUGUCUUUUCCUGCUUUGUCAUAAGGGUGUCUGUCUGGUAGGACUAGAAAAAGGAAGACAGUGAAGUUUUAAAGGAUUUGCAAUUGUAAUGAGCACUAAUUCUUGUCAGAAGCAGACUACUAAGUUGCAGGGUGAAUGACAACCUGUGGGUCCAAGCUCCACUAUAGAGAGGUGGGAAUAGUGAGUCUGAAAGUUA
RNAcentral lists this long non-coding RNA (1051 nucleotides) under Melopsittacus undulatus (budgerigar). RNAcentral's name for it is "lncRNA (ENSMUNG00000018215.1)". The record is from RNAcentral. Lineage: Eukaryota; Metazoa; Chordata; Aves; Psittaciformes; Psittaculidae.